Molecule: ribosomal RNA, 253 nt
Filed under: uncultured bacterium
Lineage: Bacteria
Description: partial 16S ribosomal RNA
Rfam family: Bacterial small subunit ribosomal RNA
Source: RNAcentral
UACGUAGGGGGCAAGCGUUAUCCGGAUUUACUGGGUGUAAAGGGAGCGUAGACGGCAGCGCAAGUCUGGAGUGAAAUGCCGGGGCCCAACCCCGGAACUGCUUUGGAAACUGUGCAGCUCGAGUGCAGGAGAGGUAAGCGGAAUUCCUAGUGUAGCGGUGAAAUGCGUAGAUAUUAGGAGGAACACCAGUGGCGAAGGCGGCUUACUGGACUGUAACUGACGUUGAGGCUCGAAAGCGUGGGUAGCAAACAGG